GUAUGUAGUCACUUCUCCCUAUUCUUUAUUGGCCAGAUGGAGCUCAUGUCCACUUCUGAACCAAGAGACUGAGAUCACAACACAAUCCAAUUGCUGAAAAGAAACCAACCAACAAAGAAAGCACCAACAAAGAAAGGGAUAUGACUAUUCAUACUGUUUCUGCAGUGUGGUCACACAUAUCCCAGGUUUGCCUUGAACUUUCUGGGUAGCUGAGGAUAACCUUGGACUCCUGAUCACUCUUCCUCCAUUUAUUACAGGCAUGAAAAUCCCAUUUGAGGAUAAAGGGGAAGGAAGGAGGGGAGUGGAACCAAUCAGUCCUAUGGCUCCCAAGCAGGGCAGUCAUUAUCAGAGAGAGACUGGAAUGCAUGGAGCAGCAUUCUAUCUGCA
Molecule: long non-coding RNA, 387 nt
Organism: Mus musculus (house mouse)
Lineage: Eukaryota; Metazoa; Chordata; Mammalia; Rodentia; Muridae
Product: predicted gene, 41513
Exons: 3
Source: RefSeq, a predicted model, not a curated record